AUUCCUACGGGAGGCAGCAGUGGGGAAUAUCGCGCAAUGGGCGAAAGCCUGACGCAGCGACGCCGCGUGAGGGAUGAAGGCCUUCGGGGUUGUAAACCUCUUUCAGCAGGGACGAAGCGAAAGUGACGGUACCUGCAGAAGAAGCACCGGCCAACUACGUGCCAGCAGCCGCGGUAAUACGUAGGGUGCAAGCGUUGUCCGGAAUUAUUGGGCGUAAAGAGCUCGUAGGCGGUCUGUCACGUCGGCUGUGAAAACUCGGGGCUCAACCCCGAGCCUGCAGUCGAUACGGGCAGACUAGAGUGCUGUAGGGGAGACUGGAAUUCCUGGUGUAGCGGUGAAAUGCGCAGAUAUCAGGAGGAACACCGGUGGCGAAGGCGGGUCUCUGGGCAGUAACUGACGCUGAGGAGCGAAAGCGUGGGGAGCAAACAGGAUUAGAUACCCUGGUAGUCCACGCCGUAAACGGUGGGUGCUAGGUGUAGGUCGUAUUCCACGCGAUCUGUGCCGCAGCUAACGCAUUAAGCACCCCGCCUGGGGAGUACGGCCGCAAGGCUAAAACUCAAAGGAAUUGACGGGGGCCCGCACAAGCAGCGUAGCAUGUGGCUUAAUUCGACGCAACGCGAAGAACCUUACCAAGGCUUGACAUGCAGGGAAAUCUCACAGAGAUGUGAGGUCCGCAAGGGUCCUGCACAGGUGGUGCAUGGUUGUCGUCAGCUCGUGUCGUGAGAUGUUGGGUUAAGUCCCGCAACGAGCGCAACCCUCGCUCUAUGUUGCCAGCGCGUCAUGGCGGGGACUCAUAGGAGACUGCCGGGGUCAACUCGGAGGAAGGUGGGGACGACGUCAAAUCAUCAUGCCCCUUAUGUCUUGGGCUGCACACAUGCUACAAUGGCCGAUACAAAGGGCUGCUAAGCCGCAAGGUGGAGCGAAUCCCAAAAAGUCGGUCUCAGUUCGGAUUGGGGUCUGCAACUCGACCCCAUGAAGUCGGAGUUG
RNAcentral lists this ribosomal RNA (987 nucleotides) under uncultured Blastococcus sp. RNAcentral describes it as "bacterial SSU rRNA". It matches the Rfam family "Bacterial small subunit ribosomal RNA", at positions 335 to 1334 of the family's 1533-position model. The record is from RNAcentral. Lineage: Bacteria; Bacillati; Actinomycetota; Actinomycetes; Geodermatophilales; Geodermatophilaceae.